Molecule: ribosomal RNA, 388 nt
Filed under: uncultured bacterium
Lineage: Bacteria
Description: bacterial SSU rRNA
Rfam family: Bacterial small subunit ribosomal RNA
Source: RNAcentral
GACGAACGCUGGCGGCGUGCUUAACACAUGCAAGUCGAGCGGUAAGGCCCUUUCGGGGGUACACGAGCGGCGAACGGGUGAGUAACACGUGGGUGACCUGCCCUCAGCUCUGGGAUAAGCCUGGGAAACCGGGUCUAAUACUGGAUAUGACUCCAUGACGCAUGUUGUGGGGUGGAAAGCCUUGUGCGGCUGAGGAUGGGCCCGCGGCCUAUCAGCUUGUUGGUGGGGUGAUGGCCUACCAAGGCGACGACGGGUAGCCGGCCUGAGAGGGCGACCGGCCACACUGGGACUGAGACACGGCCCAGACUCCUACGGGAGGCAGCAGUGGGGAAUCUUGCGCAAUGGGCGAAAGCCUGACGCAGCGACGCCGCGUGAUGGAUGACGGCCU